Molecule: long non-coding RNA, 278 nt
Organism: Onychostoma macrolepis
Lineage: Eukaryota; Metazoa; Chordata; Actinopteri; Cypriniformes; Cyprinidae
Exons: 3
Source: RefSeq, a predicted model, not a curated record
CACAGGUAUACAAACAAUACAGGCAAAAUAGGUGGUUAAUGGGGCGCUUUAUGCAGAGAUUUUUUGUCAUUACACCACAGCAUCAAAAGAAUUUUAGUUUUGCGUUAAGUUUAGAUGUCCACAGGGGGAUGAAAUGUAGUAAAUUACCACUUGAGCUAAUGGACUGACUGAAACAUGACUCCUUCAUUACUCUUUCAUUAUGAGUGCACAUGUACCCUCCUGCAGUUAACCGGAUCAAAGACACUCUUCACUGCUUCCUGUUAAAACUUUAUGGUGUG